AACGAACGCUGGCGGCAUGCCUAACACAUGCAAGUCGAACGAGACCUUCGGGUCUAGUGGCGCACGGGUGCGUAACGCGUGGGAACCUGCCCUUAGGUUCGGAAUAACUCCCCGAAAGGGGUGCUAAUACCGGAUAAUGUCUUCGGACCAAAGAUUUAUCGCCUUUGGAUGGGCCCGCGUUGGAUUAGCUAGUUGGUAGGGUAAAAGCCUACCAAGGCGACGAUCCAUAGCUGGUCUGAGAGGAUGAUCAGCCACACUGGGACUGAGACACGGCCCAGACUCUUACGGGAGGCAGCAGUGGGGAAUAUUGGACAAUGGGCGAAAGCAUGAUCCAGCAAUGCCGCGUGAGUGAUGAAGGCCGUAGGGUUGUAAAGCUCUUUUACCCGGGAUGAUAAUGACAGUACCGGGAGAAUAAGCUCCGGCUAACUCCGUG
RNAcentral lists this ribosomal RNA (433 nucleotides) under uncultured bacterium. RNAcentral's name for it is "partial 16S ribosomal RNA". It matches the Rfam family "Bacterial small subunit ribosomal RNA", at positions 29 to 507 of the family's 1533-position model. The record is from RNAcentral.